GAUGCUGCCUGCUCUAUGAUGCUCUGUAAGUGCACAGGACUGACUGGAAAAUUCACAUAUAUGAGCACAUAUGGGGAGAGAUGAGAGGGACUCUCUGGCUUAAUAGGAAGAAUGCAAGACUCAGGUGCCUGCGGGAGGCUGUCUGCCAAGAAGGUCAAUAAAAGCCCCUGCAGAUUCAGACGAUUCCCUGGUUGGAGAUAAUUCACCUGCAGAAAACUGACAUCAACAGGGUCCAAUCAUGCCACUCACCAGCUCUAGGUCUUCCAUCUUCCUCAUGGCAGAAUUGAGAAGUCAUGUGAAACUGACAGUGAGACUCCUGGGGACAGAUGUAAAAUGCAAUUCCAUCUUUUUUUACUGUUUUCAGUCUGUCUAAAUAUUUUCCCAACCCUUUUUCUAUAUCUACCAGAUUGCAAUGUUUACUUGUAAUUAAAAUCCCACAUUGUAACCCAAA
Molecule: RNA transcript, 451 nt
Organism: Ornithorhynchus anatinus (platypus)
Lineage: Eukaryota; Metazoa; Chordata; Mammalia; Monotremata; Ornithorhynchidae
Exons: 3
Source: RefSeq, a predicted model, not a curated record